AGGAUGAACGCUGGCGGCGUGCCUAACACAUGCAAGUCGAACGUCCUGUCUCGCAAGAGGCAGGGAGUGGCGGACGGGUGAGUACCACGUGGGUCAUCUACCGUGAGGUGAGGAAUACCGGCGAGAAAUCGCCGACAAGACCGCAUAGCCUCGGUGCAAGCCGAGGAAAGCUCUUUCGAGAGAGGGAGCGCCACACGAGGAGCCUGCGCCCGAUUAGCUAGCUGGUGGAGUAACGGUUCACCAGGGCGACGAUCGGUAGCUGGUCUGAGAGGACGAUCAGCCACACUGGGAUUGAGAACGGCCCAGACUCCUACGGGGGGCAGCAGUGAGGAAUUUUCGUCAAUGGGGGCAACCCUGAACGAGCAACGCCGCGUGCAGGAAGAAGGUUUUCGGAUCGUAAACUGCUUUUCGUCGGGGAAGAGAACGGACGGUACCCGAGGAAUCAGCCCCGGCUAACUACGUGCCAGCAGCCGC
Molecule: ribosomal RNA, 474 nt
Filed under: uncultured bacterium
Lineage: Bacteria
Description: SSU rRNA
Rfam family: Bacterial small subunit ribosomal RNA
Source: RNAcentral